RNAcentral lists this ribosomal RNA (867 nucleotides) under uncultured archaeon. Its description in RNAcentral is "bacterial SSU rRNA". It matches the Rfam family "Archaeal small subunit ribosomal RNA", at positions 27 to 900 of the family's 1478-position model. The record is from RNAcentral.
CUGCUAUCGGAUUGAUACUAAGCCACGCGAGUCAUUGCAGUAAUGCAAGGCAGACGGCUCAGUAACGCGUAGUCAACCUACCCUAUGGACGGGAAUAACCUCGGGAAACUGAGUAUAAUGCCCGAUAGAACACUAUUCCUGGAAUGGUUUGUGUUCCAAAUGAUUUAUCGCCGUAGGAUGGGACUGCGGCCUAUCAGUUUGUUGGUGAGGUAAUGGCCCACCAAGACUAUUACAGGUACGGGCUCUGAGAGGAGUAGCCCGGAGAUGGGUACUGAGACACGGACCCAGGCCCUAUGGGGCGCAGCAGGCGAGAAAACUUUGCAAUGUGCGAAAGCACGACAAGGUUAAUCCGAGUGGUUUGUGCUAAACGAACCUUUUGACAGUCCUAGAAACACUGUUGAAUAAGGGGUGGGCAAGUUCUGGUGUCAGCCGCCGCGGUAAAACCAGCACCUCAAGUGGUCAGGAUGAUUAUUGGGCCUAAAGCAUCCGUAGCCGGCUCUGUAAGUUUUCGGUUAAAUCUGUACGCUCAACGUACAGGCUGCCGGGAAUACUGCAGAGCUAGGGAGUGGGAGAGGUAGACGGUACUCGGUAGGAAGGGGUAAAAUCCUUUGAUCUAUUGAUGACCACCUGUGGCGAAGGCGGUCUACCAGAACACGUCCGACGGUGAGGGAUGAAAGCUGGGGGAGCAAACCGGAUUAGAUACCCGGGUAGUCCCAGCUGUAAACUAUGCAAACUCAGUGAUGCAUUGGCUUGUGGCCAAUGCAGUGCUGCAGGGAAGCCGUUAAGUUUGCCGCCUGGGAAGUACGUACGCAAGUAUGAAACUUAAAGGAAUUGGCGGGGGAGCACCACAAGGGGUGAAGCCUGCGG